AAUAAUGACAGUAUCAGGUAAAGAAACCCCGGCUAWCUCYGUGCCAGCAGCCGCGGUAAUACGGAGGGGGUGAGYGUUGUUCGGAAUUUCUGGGCGUAAAGCGCGCGUAGGCGGAUUAAUAAGUGAGGGGUGAAAUCCCAGGGCUCAACCCUGGAACUGCCUCUAAUACUGCUAGUCUAGAGUUCGAGAGAGGUGAGUGGAAUUCCGAGUGUAGAGGUGAAAUUUGUAGAUAUUCGGAGGAACACCAGUGGCGAAGGCGGCUCWCUGGCUCGAUACUGACKCUGAGGUGCGAAAGUGUGGGGAGCAAACAGGAUUAGAUACCCUGGUAGUCCACACCGUAAACGAUGAAUKCCAGUCGUCGGGAAGCAUCCUUUCGGUGUCACACCUAAC
This 390-nucleotide ribosomal RNA is filed under the name uncultured Paracoccaceae bacterium. RNAcentral's name for it is "bacterial SSU rRNA". The record is from RNAcentral. Lineage: Bacteria; Pseudomonadati; Pseudomonadota; Alphaproteobacteria; Rhodobacterales; Paracoccaceae.